AUUGAACGCUGGCGGCAUGCCUUACACAUGCAAGUCGAACGCCCCGCAAGGGGAGUGGCAGACGGGUGAGUAACACGUGGGAACGUACCCUUUGGUUCGGAAUAACUUGGGGAAACUCAAGCUAAUACCGGAUAAGCCCUUAUGGGGAAAGGUUUACUGCCGAAGGAUCGGCCCGCGUGUGAUUAGCUAGUUGGUGAGGUAAUGGCUCACCAAGGCGACGAUCAGUAGCUGGUCUGAGAGGAUGAUCAGCCACACUGGGACUGAGACACGGCCCAGACUCCUACGGGAGGCAGCAGUGGGGAAUAUUGGACAAUGGGGGAAAGCCUGAUCCAGCAAUGCCGCGUGAGUGAUGAAGGCCUUAGGGUUGUAAAGCUCUUUUACCAGUGACGAUAAUGACUGUACCGGAAGAAUAAGCCCCGGCUAACUUCGUGCCAGCCGCCGCCGUAA
Molecule: ribosomal RNA, 447 nt
Filed under: uncultured bacterium
Lineage: Bacteria
Description: partial 16S ribosomal RNA
Rfam family: Bacterial small subunit ribosomal RNA
Source: RNAcentral